RNAcentral lists this ribosomal RNA (253 nucleotides) under uncultured bacterium. RNAcentral's name for it is "partial 16S ribosomal RNA". It matches the Rfam family "Bacterial small subunit ribosomal RNA", at positions 524 to 776 of the family's 1533-position model. The record is from RNAcentral.
UACAGAGGGUGCAAGCGUUGUUCGGAAUUAUUGGGCGUAAAGCGCGUGUAGGCGGCUAUGCAAGUCGGGUGUGAAAGCCCUCAGCUUAACUGAGGAAGUGCGCCCGAAACUGCAUGGCUUGAGUACCGGAGAGGAUGGCGGAAUUCCCCAAGUAGAGGUGAGAUUCGUAGAUAUGGGGAGGAACACCGGCGGCGAAGGCGGCCAUCUGGACGGAUACUGACGCUGAGACGCGAAAGCGUGGGUAGCAAACAGG